Pieris rapae (cabbage white) is the source of this 1012-nucleotide long non-coding RNA. RefSeq lists it as uncharacterized. The record is from RefSeq and is a predicted model, not a curated record. The transcript has 4 exons. Lineage: Eukaryota; Metazoa; Arthropoda; Insecta; Lepidoptera; Pieridae.
CACUAUUCUAAAAUAAACUUAAUUUUGUUAUUUUUGUACGGAUGGCUCAUUCCUUUUUAUUAUUAACGCUAUUGAAAGAAGCAAAUGAUUUUGAUAACUUAUUGAGCCGCAGGCAGAGAGAAAAGAUGAAACACACAAUUAAUUAUACGCGAAGAUGACUACGUUCGCCUCUUUCGUCUUACCAAACAAUUAGUAGAUGAUGUGGAAGAAAACCUAGAAUCAACUCUAAAAACCACCAAAACUUUAAACAGUAGAACUAAGAUUUUACCAGAAGUUCAACAUUAAUGCAAUGGUUGCAUUGGAUGUGUGGAUGGGACUUUUGUAGCAAUGAUAAGGCCAAAAGAAGAUGAAGAAAGAUACUAUUGCCGAAAGGGCUAUCAUGCUAGAAAUGUUCAAUUGAUAGUAGAUGCAGAUUUUAACAUUUUGCAUGUGGAUGCAUCAUAUGGAGGUUCUUUUCAUGACAGUUUUAUAUUUAACAACUGUGUUAUAAAAGAACAUUUAGAAGCAUUGAAUGAUUCUAAUGAAACUGUAUUUUUGCUUGGUGAUAGUGCUUAUUGUCAACGAGCAUAUAUGAUGGUUCCAGUGCCUAAUGUUGCAAAUGGAUCCCCUGAAGCAACAUACAAUAAAGUACAUGCUACUGCACGUAACUCUGUAGAAAGGCUAAUAGGUAUAUUAAUAGGUAUAUUAAAAGGACGAUUUCGCUGCCCGUUAGUUCAUCGAGUAUUACAUUACAGCCCUAAUACUGUUGGGAAAAUUACCAUAGCCUGUUGUGUACUACACAAUAUUUGUAAUCGUGCAGGGCUGAUAGCUCCUGAAUUAUCGACUGAAGAACUUACAGAGAUCAUGCUUCAGGGACAAUAUCAAUAUCAAAGAGAUGGUAAUAAUGAGGAGUUAGAGUUGGGUAGACUUGCAAGAGCUCGCUUAAUAAGAACAAUCUGGCACAACUCAAGACCAAUUUAAUAAAACAAUAACUUUGCUUAUAUAUUUUUUAUAUCAGUUUUUAUAUUUUUAU